RNAcentral lists this ribosomal RNA (622 nucleotides) under uncultured bacterium. Its description in RNAcentral is "bacterial SSU rRNA". It matches the Rfam family "Bacterial small subunit ribosomal RNA", at positions 395 to 1017 of the family's 1533-position model. The record is from RNAcentral.
UGCCGCGUGCAGGAAGACGGCCCUACGGGUUGUAAACUGCUUUUGCAGGGGAAUAAACCUCGAUAUGUAUAUCGAGCUGAAUGUACUCUGAGAAUAAGGAUCGGCUAACUCCGUGCCAGCAGCCGCGGUAAUACGGAGGAUCCAAGCGUUAUCCGGAUUUAUUGGGUUUAAAGGGUGCGUAGGUGGUCUAUUAAGUCAGGGGUGAAAGACGGCAGCUUAACUGUCGCAGUGCCUUUGAUACUGAUGGACUUGAAUAAACUAGAGGUAGGCGGAAUGUGACAAGUAGCGGUGAAAUGCAUAGAUAUGUCACAGAACACCAAUUGCGAAGGCAGCUUACUAUGGUUUGAUUGACACUGAGGCACGAAAGCGUGGGGAUCAAACAGGAUUAGAUACCCUGGUAGUCCACGCCCUAAACGAUGAAUACUCGAUGUUGGCGAUAUACGGUCAGCGUCUAAGCGAAAGCGUUAAGUAUUCCACCUGGGGAGUACGCUCGCAAGGGUGAAACUCAAAGGAAUUGACGGGGGCCCGCACAAGCGGAGGAGCAUGUGGUUUAAUUCGAUGAUACGCGAGGAACCUUACCCGGGCUUGAAAGUUAGUGAAUUGAGCAGAGACGCUCAAGUCC